AUUGAAGGGAUGAUAUCCGAUUCAGGAAAGUUUAUAUGUCGACCCAAAAAAAUCAUUCAGACUACAAUUAUCUGAUCAAAU
This 81-nucleotide small nucleolar RNA is filed under the name Solanum lycopersicum (tomato). RNAcentral describes it as "Small nucleolar RNA Z155". It matches the Rfam family "Small nucleolar RNA Z155". From Rfam's summary of the family: Z155 is a member of the C/D class of snoRNA which contain the C (UGAUGA) and D (CUGA) box motifs. Most of the members of the box C/D family function in directing site-specific 2'-O-methylation of substrate RNAs. The record is from Rfam by way of RNAcentral. RNAcentral also lists the same sequence under 1 other name. Lineage: Eukaryota; Viridiplantae; Streptophyta; Magnoliopsida; Solanales; Solanaceae.